GCCUGGGUGGCUCAGUUGUUGAGUGUCUGCCUUCAGCUCAGGGCGUGAUCCCAGGGUUGUGGGAUCAAGCCCCACAUCAGGCU
RNAcentral lists this transfer RNA (83 nucleotides) under Ailuropoda melanoleuca (giant panda). It matches the Rfam family "tRNA". Rfam says of the family: Transfer RNA (tRNA) molecules are approximately 80 nucleotides in length. Their secondary structure includes four short double-helical elements and three loops (D, anti-codon, and T loops). Further hydrogen bonds mediate the characteristic L-shaped molecular structure. tRNAs have two regions of fundamental functional importance: the anti-codon, which is responsible for specific mRNA codon recognition, and the 3' end, to which the tRNAs corresponding amino acid is attached (by aminoacyl-tRNA synthetases). tRNAs cope with the degeneracy of the genetic code in two manners: having more than one tRNA (with a specific anti-codon) for a particular amino acid; and 'wobble' base-pairing, i.e. permitting non-standard base-pairing at the 3rd anti-codon position. Lineage: Eukaryota; Metazoa; Chordata; Mammalia; Carnivora; Ursidae. The record is from Rfam by way of RNAcentral.